RNAcentral lists this long non-coding RNA (690 nucleotides) under Mytilus galloprovincialis (Mediterranean mussel). The record is from RNAcentral. Lineage: Eukaryota; Metazoa; Mollusca; Bivalvia; Mytilida; Mytilidae.
UUAUACAACAUCAACAAUUAUGAAAAACUUUUAUUCCAACAUAUUGUAAUAAAAAAUUCACAAAAAUAAUAACCAGUAUAAAUACAAUUGUAUGCAAAUGUCCUUGGUCAGAAGUCUGCUGUUCAGUAGUUGUCGUUUGUUGUUAUGGUUCAUAAGUGUUUCUCGUUUCUCAUUUUGUAUACAAAUUAGGCUGCUGCUUUCCUGUUUAAAUUGUUUUUCACUAGUCAUUUUGGGGCCCUUGAUAGCUUGCAGUUCGGUGUGAGCCAAAUUAUGAAUGCGUGUUGAAGUCCGUACUUUAACCUGUAAUUGUUAACUUUAUAUAUAUACAUUGUUAUUUCGAUGGAGAGUUGUCUCAAUGGCACUAAUACCACAUCUUCUUAUUUAUAUGUAUAUAUAAAAACUAACAAAUCCUUGCAAAAAAUACAUACUCAGUAUACUAUUUGCAGUUAUAAUUAUAUGAAAACCGUUUUAUAAUAUUUAUUUCCACCUAUGUUGUCGAAUGCACAAGUCUUUUUGGAUUACGCUUCACCAAAGCCUUCCAUUGGUAACGAUCAAGUUGUUGCAUUUCUUAUUAAGUUGAUUGAGUUGAAAUUUGGUAAUCAAUUGUGAUCAAUAGUAUCGAUCGUUACGAUCAAGUGUUUGUAAUUUCGUAUUGAGUUGAUUGAGUUGAUUUUUGGUAAUCAAUCGUGA